UGGUGGAGCGAUCUGUCUGGUUAAUUCCGAUAACGAACGAGACUCUGUCCUGCUAAAUAGGCGGGUUUUUCGUCGCCUGCCGGCUCGGUGCGCGGUUCUGCCGUGUGCCGGUCGGCAGUCACCGACGGAACGAUAUCCUCGAAAGCGGUUGGCUGUCGUAAGUGGCGUUGGCGUUGUUGCGGUGGUUUGUUUCGGCAGGUCGCCGCGGCAGUCGCCUGCGUUACCCGACAGUUUUGCUGCCAAUGGGCUAUCGCCGGCUGAUAAAGCUUAAACUCUUCUUAGAGGGACAGGCGGCGGACAAAACUAGCCGCACGAGACUGAGCGAUAACA
This 330-nucleotide ribosomal RNA is filed under the name uncultured eukaryote. RNAcentral's name for it is "bacterial SSU rRNA". It matches the Rfam family "Eukaryotic small subunit ribosomal RNA", at positions 1299 to 1458 of the family's 1831-position model. The record is from RNAcentral.